UUAAAUAGCUGUAAUAAACUACUGUUGCUAACAUAUUUAUUCCGGUCCAGGUUUAUAUAAGGCUAUUUAUUAAUAGAUUUUUCUUCUAACGUUUCUCUGGUAUAACGUUAGCGCUGCAUAAUAUGACCGUUCUAAAAGCUUGGCUUUUAUUUUGAUAGGCCAUAUUUACUAUUACUUCCGGGUCACGUGGCCAACCUGUCUGUAUUUCAAUGUAGAUCUUCAAACGAAAAAAUGGAAAAAGGAAUUUCAAAAAACCAAAAUCGGAACGUUAUUUGAUUUUGGUUUUGUCAUUUUUCGUUUUUAGAUUCAGAACCAAAAACGGGAGAACGGCUCUUUUUUGACCGUUUCUUUGAUUUUGGUUUGAAACGACAAACGAAAAACAGGUGGUUUCUCGUUAUUUUGUUUUGUGUUUCAAUCGAAAAAACAAACUAUCAAAACGUACACGGACCCGCCCCUAGCGUCACUUUUAUGACGCCAAAUGUGCCUCUCGGCGUCGACUAUCGAAGCACUACGACCUUCAUUGCUUUCAGUGGGAAACUUUUGGCGUCAGAAUUCGACACGAGGACAUGAGAUGUUUAUCGCUAUGAAAUCACGUUCAAGAAGUCUCAUUCAGCACACAUCGCGCGAUACUUGCUAUCAGUUCCACAGUUUGGCUGAAAAGACGUAAAGGCAGUCAGCCCAGUGGUGUUUCUGGAGAGGGAUUCCUUCAGAAAUGGAGAAGACAGAAAGCUGCGGAGGCAGAUAUUUGCAGCAGUCUAAAAUAUCGAGCUCAACAGCUAUUUUAAGAGCCAACCCUCACAAACCUUCCUAAAACCUAAAAGAGCUAUUACUGAGUCUCAGCGAAUCUUGCCAUGAUCAGCUCUUCCCAGAAGAGAAGGAAGACCAAGGAAAUUAUUUGCUCAGGAUGAGAAAUGAAGACGGCCAUCUUGUGCUCAAACAAACAGAAGUCCUCUGAUGAUCUCAUCAGCCAAAUGAGGGGUUUUGACCAAGUGAUGCUCUUGAAAGGAGUGAAAGAAGAGGAUGUGGUAAAUUCUCUUCAGAGAAAAAGCUUCUCAAAAGGUCUUAAAGCAGCUUGAAGAAUGGUCUGGGAUGUUAGGACUGAGAGAUCCUCUGGCUGAGAGAAGCUACACCACAUCAGUGCUGGAUAUCAACCACAAACAGUUUCCAGACACGAGAGAAGAAGAACACGAUGGGGAGAUGAAACCAGUUUAGAUGUGAUGAUAAGGAAUCAUUAUUUUCUGAAACAGUAUCACAUGUCUUAUAUGUAUCACAUGAUCUGUAUCACAGUUGACUGGAUGGGACUGUGUGACUUUUAAGGACAUUUCAUCACUCAUCCGUGGGAACUGAUUUAUAUAUGAGGUUAAUGUAUCUUUGAUGAUAAUUAUUUUCAUUGAAUCUUAUUUGUCUUGAUGCUACUUUAUCAACUUUAUAGUCUAUGCUUCAAUAAAAUGAAA
This is a long non-coding RNA of Carassius gibelio (silver crucian carp), 1454 nucleotides long. RefSeq lists it as uncharacterized. The transcript is spliced from 6 exons. NCBI's taxonomy places the organism in Eukaryota, Metazoa, Chordata, Actinopteri, Cypriniformes, Cyprinidae. The record is from RefSeq and is a predicted model, not a curated record.